Molecule: ribosomal RNA, 422 nt
Filed under: uncultured bacterium
Lineage: Bacteria
Description: bacterial SSU rRNA
Rfam family: Bacterial small subunit ribosomal RNA
Source: RNAcentral
ACCUGAGGUGACUGAGUGGCGGACGGGUGGAGUAACGCGUGGGUAACGUACCCUAUACAGGGGGAUAACAGUGGAAACGACUGCUAAUACCGCAUAAGCGCACAGGACCGCAUGGUCUAGUGUGAAAAACUCCGGUGGUAUAGGAUGGACCCGCGUCUGAUUAGCUAGUUGGUGAGGUAACGGCUCACCAAGGCGACGAUCAGUAGCCGACCUGAGAGGGUGACCGGCCACAUUGGGACUGAGACACGGCCCAAACUCCUACGGGAGGCAGCAGUGGGGAAUAUUGCACAAUGGGCGAAAGCCUGAUGGCAGCGACGCCGCGUGAACGAAGAAGUAUUUCGGUAUGUAAAGUUCUAUCAGCAGGGAAGAAAAAUGACGGUACCUGACUAAGAAGCUCCGGCUAAAUACGUGCCAGCCGCUGC